Molecule: ribosomal RNA, 253 nt
Filed under: uncultured bacterium
Lineage: Bacteria
Description: partial 16S ribosomal RNA
Rfam family: Bacterial small subunit ribosomal RNA
Source: RNAcentral
GACGAACUGUGCAAACGUUAUUCGGAAUCACUGGGCUUGAAGAGUGCGUAGGCGGUUUCGUAAGUAGGGUGUGAAAGCCCCCAGCUCAACUGGGGAACUGCGUCCUAAACUGCGAGGCUGGAGUGAGGUAGGGGUGUGUGGAACUUCCGGUGGAGCGGUGAAAUGUGUUGAUAUCGGAAGGAACGCCGGUGGCGAAAGCGACACACUGGGCCUUGUCUGACGCUGAGGCACGAAAGCCAGGGGAGCAAACGGG